AGCCGCCGCGGUAACACCGGCGGCUCGAGUGGUAACCGUUAUUAUUGGGUCUAAAGGGUCUGUAGCCGGCCGGAUAAGUCUCUUGAGAAAUCUGGCAGCUUAACUGUCAGGCUUUCAGGAGAUACUGUCUGGCUCGAGGCCGGGAGAGGUGAGAGGUACUUCAGGGGUAGGGGUGAAAUCUUGUAAUCCUUGAAGGACCACCAGUGGCGAAGGCGUCUCACCAGAACGGACCUGACGGCAAGGGACGAAAGCUAGGGGCACGAACCGGAUUAGAUACCCGGGUAGUCCUAGCCGUAAACGAUACUCGCUAGGUGUCGGCCACGGUGCGACCGUUGUCGGUGCCGUAGGGAAGCCGUGAAGCGAGCCACCUGGGACGUACGGCC
This 383-nucleotide ribosomal RNA is filed under the name uncultured archaeon. RNAcentral describes it as "bacterial SSU rRNA". It matches the Rfam family "Archaeal small subunit ribosomal RNA", at positions 460 to 842 of the family's 1478-position model. The record is from RNAcentral.